GAACGCUAGCUACAGGCUUAACACAUGCAAGUCGAGGGGCAGCGGGAUUGAAGCUUGCUUCAAUUGCCGGCGACCGGCGCACGGGUGAGUAACGCGUAUCCAACCUGCCCAUCACUUGGGGAUAACCUUGCGAAAGUAAGACUAAUACCCAAUGAUAUCUCUAGAAGACAUCUGAAAGAGAUUAAAGAUUUAUCGGUGAUGGAUGGGGAUGCGUCUGAUUAGCUUGUUGGCGGGGUAACGGCCACCAAGGCGACGAUCAGUAGGGGUUCUGAGAGGAAGGUCCCCCACAUUGGAACUGAGACACGGUCCAAACUCCUACGGGAGGCAGCAGUGAGGAAUAUUGGUCAAUGGACGAGAGUCUGAACCAGCCAAGUAGCGUGCAGGAUGACGGCCCUAUGGGUUGUAAACUGCUUUUAUAAGGGAAUAAAGUGAGUCUCGUGAGACUUUUUGCAUGUACCUUAUGAAUAAGGACCGGCUAAUUCCGUG
RNAcentral lists this ribosomal RNA (486 nucleotides) under uncultured bacterium. RNAcentral's name for it is "bacterial SSU rRNA". It matches the Rfam family "Bacterial small subunit ribosomal RNA", at positions 31 to 507 of the family's 1533-position model. The record is from RNAcentral.